UAGAUGACCAAAUACUAAUAAUUAGUUUUAUUUAUGUACUUUCCAGUCUAGACUUGAAUAGAUUUCGAUCCGCAUCACAGGCUGACUUACAACAAGUUGUGCUUUUGUGGCUCCGAUGAACUUCUAUGUAGCUGUGUACACAUCUAAAAAAGAUUCAGUACAUGUUUUGGUGCUUAAGGGCUGCUAUGAUAAUUGAAAGAAUCCUUCUUAUUUGUGCAAACUAAUUUAAAUUAGUUCAUGGCCGCUCUAAGAGGUU
Long non-coding RNA from Panicum virgatum (switchgrass), 256 nucleotides. RefSeq lists it as uncharacterized. Lineage: Eukaryota; Viridiplantae; Streptophyta; Magnoliopsida; Poales; Poaceae. The record is from RefSeq and is a predicted model, not a curated record. The transcript has 3 exons.